RNAcentral lists this signal recognition particle RNA (263 nucleotides) under Thermoflexus hugenholtzii. Its description in RNAcentral is "Bacterial large signal recognition particle RNA". It matches the Rfam family "Bacterial large signal recognition particle RNA". Rfam says of the family: The signal recognition particle (SRP) is a universally conserved ribonucleoprotein involved in the co-translational targeting of proteins to membranes. Archaeal SRP consists of a 7S RNA and homologues of the eukaryotic SRP19 and SRP54 proteins. The record is from RNAcentral. Lineage: Bacteria; Bacillati; Chloroflexota; Thermoflexia; Thermoflexales; Thermoflexaceae. RNAcentral also lists the same sequence under 1 other name.
CUGUGCUAGACGGGGAGCUAGCGGUGCCCUGAACCCGCAAUCCGCUAUAGCGGGGUCGAAUUCCUGCUCGAGGGCUGCGCUUUCGGGGACUGUCCUCUUCAGUCGGCGCCGAGGGUCUGGUCCUGCGCGGCGAGGCGCUCCGAACCUGGUCAGGUCCGGAAGGAAGCAGCCAUAAGGGGUUUGCCUCGGGUGCCGCAGUCAACCGGGCCUGAGCCGGCUGUUGCAGAGCAAGCCCGGGGGCCAGUUCGACAGCAGGUGCACGG